This 336-nucleotide unclassified non-coding RNA is filed under the name soil metagenome. Its description in RNAcentral is "partial contains 5.8S ribosomal RNA, internal transcribed spacer 2, and large subunit ribosomal RNA". The stretch from base 1 to 120 matches the Rfam family "5.8S ribosomal RNA", at positions 35 to 154 of the family's 154-position model. The record is from RNAcentral.
GAUGAAGAACGCAUCGAAAUGCGAUAAGUAAUGUGAAUUGCAGAAUUCAGUGAAUCAUCGAAUCUUUGAACGCACAUUGCGCCCGCCAGUAUUCUGGCGGGCAUGCCUGUUCGAGCGUCAUUUCAACCAUCAAGCCCCCGGCUUGUGUUGGGGACCUGCGGCUGCCGCAGGCCCUGAAAAGCAGUGGCGGGCUCGCUGUCACACCGAGCGUAGUAGCAUACAUCUCGCUCUGGGCGUGCUGCGGGUUCCGGCCGUUAAACCACCUUCAUAACCCAAGGUUGACCUCGGAUCAGGUAGGAAGACCCGCUGAACUUAAGCAUAUCGAUAAGCGGAGGA